RNAcentral lists this long non-coding RNA (393 nucleotides) under Elaeis guineensis (African oil palm). Its description in RNAcentral is "long non-coding RNA (EGUI_LNC055050)". Lineage: Eukaryota; Viridiplantae; Streptophyta; Magnoliopsida; Arecales; Arecaceae. The record is from RNAcentral.
GCCAUGAUUUGAUUUGAUCAUGUUGAUUUCACCAAUUGAGAUAUUGGACCAAUCGUAAUGUUGGAUUGUCACCUGAUCAAUUUGAAUUGUACCUCAUGAAUUCUCUCUCCUCUGAUUUUCUCUCUCCACUUGAUUUUAUGAAAUCGAUGAAGAAACUUCGGUCCUAUCACUUCGAAUCUGAUUUGAUCUGAUAGUCAAACUUUGGAUCGUUUAGGUCCUAAUUAGAUUUUGAUUAGAUGAAAUUAGAUGAUCGAACUCAAUCUAAACCGUUGAAAUAUGGUAUUCGUAUUCUUUCUAAUUAUUCAAAUUGAUUCUGUAUAGGAUUGUGGAUGUUUGACCAUGGAUAUCGCGAUAUGAUCUACGAACAAAAUUUUUGGAAGAAAAUUUAUAGAA